Long non-coding RNA from Alosa alosa (allis shad), 1843 nucleotides. RefSeq lists it as uncharacterized. Lineage: Eukaryota; Metazoa; Chordata; Actinopteri; Clupeiformes; Clupeidae. The transcript has 4 exons. The record is from RefSeq and is a predicted model, not a curated record.
UGAGUGUGUGUCAGCGAGGCAGACCUGCAGGUAUAGUGUGAGUGUGAGGAGGCCCAGGGCGACGGUCAUUCCAAAGAAACCGCGGAGUAGCAGCACCCUCCUCCCCGUGCUUUCAAUCAGCAACACCUGGGACAGAGGGAUAGGACAGAGGAAGGGAUAGAGGAGGAGGAGGAGACUCACACAGAUGAUGGAGGUGACAAUCUCACAGAGGCCGGUCCCGAGAGCUGCAUACCGCAGCUGGUUGGACGGUAUCCCUGCAGCACUGAACACAUCAUAUGAGUACAGGAAUCUUCCUGCCAUGAUCAUCUCAAACGACCCAGCCGUUUUACUGAGCAACAUCAGCAGGGCCCCGCUGAUGGCCACCAGGUUGUUCAGCAGCAGACAUCGCUUCCUGGAGAGAUGCAUGAUGGGAUAGGCAUUCACCAGUCGCCCAGCGCACAGCGAGGCCAACAGACCACCGAUGCAGAAGAUGGACACGAUGAAGGACCAGAUGAGGGAGAGUUGCCAAGGCUCCAAGGGGAGUCCGUACCGCUCAGCACACGUGCGGUUCACCAGCUCCUUAAUGAACUGGACACCGGGACAGUUUAUGCGUUACACAAAAAAUAAAUGGUAAAUGGUGAAAGGACUGCAUUUAUAAAGCGCUUUUAUACUCCUCUGAGCACUCAAAGCACUUUACAAUUUCAUGCCUCACAUUCACACACACAAAUUCAUACACUGAUGGCCUCCUUCAUACACUGCCUUGCAAGGCACAAAACCUGUACAUCGGGAGCACUUUGGGGUUAAGUGUCUUGCUCAAGGAUACUUCUUCAGGGUCAGGAGUCGUUGGGCUCAAACUGGCUGCCUUCUGGUUGCUGAACGACUCCUCCUCCUCCUAAGCCACCGCCGCUAAAUAGGCCUAUCAGACAUGAGUGGCCAAGUGGCCUGCAAUCUUUACCUGCUAGUUUAUCAAGACAGAAAGGAACAGCCCAAAAAGUAGUGUGCUUCAUGUCAAAGACCACUGUAUCCCGUGGUAUCAUAUGGAGACUGUGAACUUCACGUGCACAUAAACAAGGGGAACUUGCUGUGUCACGAAAAGAAAAAAGCUGUUUUCAAAUGACACACAUUUUCCAUGUGACAAGGAACAUGUGGAAGACCAUUUUUUCACUUUAAUCCCAUUGCAGAUUUCACCAAAAAAAGACUAGACUAUAGACUCGGUUAGAUUUAGAAUGAGAGCUAGAGCUCAUUCACAUACUCACAGUAGAUGGUGAGGUCAACACUGAGAUCUGAAGGCCAUACUGGAAGGUCCCGCCAAUACCAGUGAUGAAGAUAGCAGCAAUAAGCAGAGGACUUUGCAGCUGCCAACAGGCCAAAGCAAACAGCUAAACACAGCAAAGUCAUUGAAAUAAAUGGUCAUUGACAUUCAUGUGGUGAAAAGAUUGGACACCUACCAGUAAGCCCAGUGCACACAUGUUUGGAGGUAGCCACACUUGACUUGUGUGUGUCUUACGAUAGUGUUCUCUCUCCUCUUGCUCUAUGAGUGACAGUGCAUUUCUCUGUUCCAGUAAAACGCAGGUCCAAAUAUCUAACCAGCAAGUAUAAGUGUAACUUCUCAAAUCUAAAUUAAGCUAAAGAGAGGGAACAAACAGUAACAGGAACAGUAGUCAAGAAAAGAAACUUUUAACCCUAAUCGCUGAACCUUGCAGUGUAUGAAGUCUACUACUAAAUAUCCACACAAAAAGAUCAUGAUGUUUUGCACAAACACACUGACAUGACAAUAUUUUUUUUCAGCAUGUCAAUAAUUAUGUUUCUUUACUUUUCUAGCUGUAACAGAAACAACUCGCUAUUAUAAAUGCGUACAAAACCA